AGAUAGAGGCGCGCCGCAUCAAGAGUAACCGCGGGGUUUCGACCGACCGAGGGUUUUGCCGCGGGAAAGGGAUGGGCGCCGAAGUGUCCGGAGUCUCGAUCGCCCGGAUAGCUGGUUUUCCGGAGAAUAUCCGUAAAACUGUCGCGUUUCGCGGAGAGCUAUCGGUU
This 167-nucleotide non-coding RNA is filed under the name bovine gut metagenome. Its description in RNAcentral is "Lysine riboswitch". It matches the Rfam family "Lysine riboswitch aptamer". Rfam says of the family: Riboswitches are metabolite binding domains within certain messenger RNAs that serve as precision sensors for their corresponding targets. Allosteric rearrangement of mRNA structure is mediated by ligand binding, and this results in modulation of gene expression. This family includes riboswitches that sense lysine in a number of genes involved in lysine metabolism, including lysC. The record is from RNAcentral.